Molecule: ribosomal RNA, 300 nt
Filed under: uncultured Thermonema sp.
Lineage: Bacteria; Pseudomonadati; Bacteroidota; Cytophagia; Cytophagales; Thermonemataceae
Description: partial 16S ribosomal RNA
Rfam family: Bacterial small subunit ribosomal RNA (bases 52-300)
Source: RNAcentral
GGGAAGUCCGCGCCAGGGGCGGCGGGAACGGGGGGGGGGGACGCGGUGUGCGGAAUGACGGGGCGUAAAGGGCGUGUAGGCGGUCAGGUAAGUGAGGUGUGAAAUGCCCCGGCUCACCCGGGGAGCGGCAUCUCAUACUGCUUGGCUUGAGUACGGGAGAGGAUGUGGGAAUUCCUGGUGUAGCGGUGAAAUGCGUAGAUAUCAGGAGGAACACCGGUGGCGAAGGCGCACAUCUGGCCCGAUACUGACGCUGAGGCGCGAAAGCUAGGGGAGCAAACGGGAUUAGAUACCCGAGUAGUC